Hydra vulgaris (swiftwater hydra) is the source of this 1056-nucleotide non-coding RNA. The record is from RefSeq and is a predicted model, not a curated record. NCBI's taxonomy places the organism in Eukaryota, Metazoa, Cnidaria, Hydrozoa, Anthoathecata, Hydridae.
UUAAACUUAUACCGUUUACGGACCCAUAAAAUACGGGUCUUAAUUUAGUAAAGAUCCGUAUUUUAUGGGUCUGGAAAGCUAUGAUAUAUAUAAAAGAAAAAAGUAUAGAAAAGAUUAGUGUGGAAUAGGCUUAGAAAGACCUGUAUUUUUAUGGGGAGGGGGCAAAUACCCUAUCCCAAAAGGAAAUGUACACAGCACAGAUAAAUAGAUAGUAAAGAUGGCAGAGCACUGGUUAUACCAAGCAACAUGAGAUGUAAAGAUGGCGGAGCAGCUCCCACUCUGGUUAUACCAAGUUGCAUGAGGUUAUUUCAAUGACAAUUAUGAGAAUUCUCUUGAAGGUAAACUAAUUUUUUUUUAUUUUUAGAUAUGUUUUGAUGAUAUUUGAUAUUUAUAUUCAUAUAUAUGUCUAUACUCAUCUAUAUAUGAUUACUUUUUAAUUAAACAAUAUUUAUUGAUAUCAUUUUUAUAAUUUAAUCACAAAUUUAAAGUAGUAAGCGUAAAAAUAGAUUUAUGUAAACAAAACAUUUCGACCAAAAAAAAAUCAAAAAAAUAUCAAAAGACAUAUUUUAUUGUUUGUACAACUUGGAUGCUUGUAUAGAAUGAUUAAGAAAUUAUUAGAAAAGAAAUCAAUCAAAGUUUCAACAACCACCAUUAAUAGAGUUAAAAAUAACAUGGCCAGAUUUGAAAUAAAAGAUGAUUUAAAUGGCAAAAAAGCUGAAAGUUGACAUUAUUACGACAGAUGAAAAACUAUUCUACUUUGAUUGUGAUCAAAAAUCCAAACAUAUUCACGCAAAUAGAUAUCAAAAAGCACAGAGAGUACUCUAUUAUAAAAAGAAAAAUUUUCUAAAAUCAAUUAUAGUAUGGGUUACAGGGUUUAUUCAAUAAUAUAAAAGAUAUACGAAGAAACAUCCUUCAAAACUUAUAAAUUUGGCAUUGAUGUCCUGGUCUAAACUUUUUAAACUUAUCUAUAAUAACAAAGGUCAUCAAAUUGAACAUUUAAGAAAAAAAAAUUAUGAAUUAAAAAAAUAUUGCUUUUUUAAUAUGUUUCCAUUUCAA